Molecule: ribosomal RNA, 330 nt
Filed under: uncultured eukaryote
Lineage: Eukaryota
Description: partial 18S ribosomal RNA
Rfam family: Eukaryotic small subunit ribosomal RNA
Source: RNAcentral
CCCUUAGAUGUUCUGGGCCGCACGCGCGCUACACUGAUGCAUUCAACGAGCCUAUCCUUGACCGACAGGUCCGGGUAAUCUUUGAAUCUGCAUCGUGACGGGGAUAGAUUAUUGCAAUUAUUAAUCUUCAACGAGGAAUGCCUAGUAGGCGCAAGUCAUCAGCUUGCGUCGAUUACGUCCCUGCCCUUUGUACACACCGCCCGUCGCUCCUACCGAUUGAACGGUUUAGUGAGGGCCUCGGAUUGGUCUCGGCCCGCUCUUCACCGGGCGGCGCCGUUGGUCGAGAAGACGCUCGAACUUGAUCGUUUAGAGGAAGUAAAAGUCGUAACA